GUGCAGGCCGUUCAGCGAGGCUGGGCCUGCUCUGUGGCCCGUGUCCUUUCCUGUGGUGUCUGCUAGAGAGACCGGGGCGGUUUGAGGCUUUGCUGUCAGUCUCCGCGGCAAGGUUAUAUAAACCUCGGACAACG
Molecule: small nucleolar RNA, 134 nt
Organism: Anguilla rostrata (American eel)
Lineage: Eukaryota; Metazoa; Chordata; Actinopteri; Anguilliformes; Anguillidae
Product: small nucleolar RNA SNORA9
Exons: 1
Source: RefSeq, a predicted model, not a curated record